GAUGAACGCUGGCGGCGUGCCUAAUACAUGCAAGUCGAGCGAACAGACGAGGAGCUUGCUCCUCUGACGUUAGCGGCGGACGGGUGAGUAACACGUGGAUAACCUACCUAUAAGACUGGGAUAACUUCGGGACACCGGAGCUAAUACCGGAUAAUAUAUUGAACCGCAUGGUUCAAUAGUUAAAGACGGUUUUGCUGUCACUUAUAGAUGGAUCCGCGCCGCAUUAGCUAGUUGGUAAGGUAACGGCUUACCAAGGCGACGAUGCGUAGCCGACCUGAGAGGGUGAUCGGCCACACUGGAACUGAGACACGGUCCAGACUCCUACGGGAGGCAGCAGUAGGGAAUCUUCCGCAAUGGGCGAAAGCCUGACGGAGCAACGCCGCGUGAGUGAUGAAGGUCUUCGGAUCGUAAAACUCUGUUAUUAGGGAAGAACAAAUGUGUAAGUAACUAUGCACGUCUUGACGGUACCUAAUCAGAAAGCCACGGCUAACUACGUG
This 497-nucleotide ribosomal RNA is filed under the name uncultured bacterium. RNAcentral's name for it is "partial 16S ribosomal RNA". It matches the Rfam family "Bacterial small subunit ribosomal RNA", at positions 28 to 507 of the family's 1533-position model. The record is from RNAcentral.